This is a small nuclear RNA of Penaeus indicus, 161 nucleotides long. RefSeq annotates it as U1 spliceosomal RNA. The record is from RefSeq and is a predicted model, not a curated record. The transcript has a single exon. Lineage: Eukaryota; Metazoa; Arthropoda; Malacostraca; Decapoda; Penaeidae.
AUACUUACCUGGCACAGGAGAUACCAUGAUCACGAAGGCGGUUCUCCCAGGACGAGGCUCACCAUUGCACUCCGGUGGCGCUGACCCCUGCGAUUAACCCAAAUAUAUAUAUAUAUAUAUAUAUAUAUAUAUAUAUAUAUAUAUAUAUAUAUAUAUAUAUA